Molecule: long non-coding RNA, 867 nt
Filed under: Macaca nemestrina (pig-tailed macaque)
Lineage: Eukaryota; Metazoa; Chordata; Mammalia; Primates; Cercopithecidae
Description: lncRNA (ENSMNEG00000045936.1)
Source: RNAcentral
AUUAUUAAAUAUCUGAUUACUUGAGAUAAACCAGCCAUCCUCUUUUUUUCAGUACUGGGCAAGAAAGGAAGAAGAAUGAAACUAUUUGUGUUAUGGAGCACAGUUUAUCAGAUAAUCCCUGCACUGGAAAGUAUUGUUUACCAGAUAUCAACAAAAUGAAAAGCUGCCCGUGACUUUCAGUGUCCUGGGAUCCAGUCAUACUCUCUCAAACCGAACAACCUGCACCAUCUUCAACUCUUCCCUUCCAGGAAGCCAGAUUAAUAUUUUGGUACGUUUAACCUUUCCAAGCAAAGUUUUCAGCAUUGGUGGCAUAGGAAUGUGGGGAGAGGUACUAUCUCACAAGCAACUAGAAUGCAUAUUCUAUUAGACAGCUUUUAUUUUCUCCAUUUUUUUUUGUUCACUCUUGUGUCUACAGUAUCAAGGACAGUGACUUCACGUAACAGCUACUCAGUAAAUAUCUGAAGGAAGGGAGGAAUAGAAAGGACAAAACUCAGACACACAAAGUCAUGGUAGUCUGAAGCAUUCAUAGCAAUGUACAAAUUUAACAUCUCAAUAGAUGAUCUGAUUACAAUCAAAUUUGGAAUCGAAAAGAUCUUUCAAUAUUAGUAGUAGAGUGGUUCUUCAGCAUAAGAGAAGUGCUCAAGCAGGGCACACUUGGAAAUAACUAUUGUCAGUUUUGCUCAAGCACAAUGACUGGAGGAUACUACUAGCAUUUAAUGCCCCAGGAGCUAAGCCUGCUAACUAUGCUGCAAUGUGUAACAAAGUCCUGUACAACGAAGACUUCUUGCACAAAUCUGGUAGCACUCCAGUUGAAAAAUGCUUAGGUAUUCCUAACCCAUCCUUAUACUUAAGUUCUCCAUAUUGAAG